This is a non-coding RNA of Cherax quadricarinatus, 390 nucleotides long. The record is from RefSeq and is a predicted model, not a curated record. Lineage: Eukaryota; Metazoa; Arthropoda; Malacostraca; Decapoda; Parastacidae.
CUUCUAGUAGUGGGAGAACAGCAGAACUACUUGGUGGGGCAACAGGCUUUGUUGGAUUCAGUGCUUUGCAAGACUUGGGUUAUGUGCCUGCAGCCUCACAAGCAGCUCAAGCUGAUGAUAGUGCUAUUUCUGCUGAAUUUAGAGUUGCUCUACGUAAAAUGACCAAAAAGGAUUCUACAACAAAAAUUAAGGCAUUACAAGAAUUUGAAGAGUUGUGCCAAAAUGAAGAUCAAGAAGCUAUUUUAUCUGCUCUGCCAUUUUGGCCACGUUUGUAUACUAAAUUAUCAGUAGAUGUAGAGAGGAGGGUUCGAGAAGCAACACAAGUUGCCAAUGGUGCACUGGUGGCUCAAGUAGGGAAACAGUUGGCUCCUCAUCUUUAAAUCCAUGAUG